RNAcentral lists this ribosomal RNA (447 nucleotides) under uncultured bacterium. Its description in RNAcentral is "partial 16S ribosomal RNA". It matches the Rfam family "Bacterial small subunit ribosomal RNA", at positions 29 to 523 of the family's 1533-position model. The record is from RNAcentral.
AGCGAACGCUGGCGGCAGGCUUAACACAUGCAAGUCGAACGCCCCGCAAGGGGAGUGGCAGACGGGUGAGUAACACGUGGGAACGUACCCUUUGGUUCGGAAUAACUUGGGGAAGCUCAAGCUAAUACCGGAUAAGCCCUUAUGGGGAAAGGUUUACUGCCGAAGGAUCGGCCCGCGUCUGAUUAGCUAGUUGGUGAGGUAAUGGCUCACCAAGGCGACGAUCAGUAGCUGGUCUGAGAGGAUGAUCAGCCACACUGGGACUGAGACACGGCCCAGACUCCUACGGGAGGCAGCGGUGGGGAAUAUUGGACAAUGGGGGCAACCCUGAUCCAGCCAUGCCGCGUGAGUGAUGAAGGCCUUAGGGUUGUAAAGCUCUUUUACCCGGGACGAUAAUGACUGUACCGGGAGAAUAAGCCCCGGCUAACUUCGUGCCAGCCGCCGCGGUAA